This 253-nucleotide ribosomal RNA is filed under the name uncultured bacterium. RNAcentral describes it as "partial 16S ribosomal RNA". It matches the Rfam family "Bacterial small subunit ribosomal RNA", at positions 524 to 776 of the family's 1533-position model. The record is from RNAcentral.
GACGUAGGGCGCGAGCGUUGUCCGGAUUUAUUGGGCGUAAAGAGCGUGUAGGCGGCCAGACAAGUCUGCUGUGAAAACUCGAGGCUCAACCUCGAGCUGUCGGUGGAAACUGUCUGGCUAGAGUCCGGAAGAGGAGAGUGGAAUUCCUGGUGUAGCGGUGAAAUGCGCAGAUAUCAGGAAGAACACCGGUGGCGAAGGCGGAUCUCUGGGCCAUUACUGACGCUGAGGAGCGAAAGCGUGGGGAGCGAACAGG